RNAcentral lists this ribosomal RNA (1973 nucleotides) under Bubalus bubalis (water buffalo). Its description in RNAcentral is "bacterial LSU rRNA". It matches the Rfam family "Bacterial large subunit ribosomal RNA", at positions 15 to 2146 of the family's 2925-position model. Lineage: Eukaryota; Metazoa; Chordata; Mammalia; Artiodactyla; Bovidae. The record is from RNAcentral.
GCGCAUACGGUGGAUGCCUAGGCAGUCAGAGGCGAUGAAAGACGUUGUAGCCUGCGAUAAGCUUCGGGGAGGUGGCAAACAACCUUUGAUCCGGAGAUUUCUGAAUGGGGAAACCCACCCGUCAUAAGGCGGGUAUCUUACGGUGAAUACAUAGCUUGUAAGAGGCAAACCGGGAGAACUGAAACAUCUAAGUAACCCGAGGAAAAGAAAUCAAUUGAGAUUCCCACAGUAGCGGCGAGCGACCUGGGAACAGCCCUUAAGUCAGUUUAGUGUUAGUAGAAGGCUCUGGAAAGUGCCGCCAUAGCAGGUGAUAGCCCUGUAUACGAAAAUGCUUUACUGGUGAAAACGAGUAGGACGGGACACGAGAAAUCCUGUCUGAAGAUGGGGGGACCAUCCUCCAAGGCUAAAUACUCCUGACUGACCGAUAGUGAACCAGUACCGUGAGGGAAAGGUGAAAAGCACCCCGACGAGGGGAGUGAAAUAGACCUGAAACCGGACACCUACAAACAGACGGAGCCCAAGAUGCGUUCUGGGUGACGUCGUACCUUUUGUAUUAUGGGCCAGCGACUUAAUUUAACGAGCAAGCUUAAGCCGAUAGGCGUAGGCGUAGCGAAAGCGAGUCUGAAUAGGGCGUCAAGUUCGUUGUAUUAGACCCGAAACCUAGUGAUCUAGCCAUGAGCAGGUUGAAGGUGAGGUAACACUCACUGGAGGACCGAACGGGUGCCUGUUGAAAAAGGCUCCGAUGACUUGUGGUUAGGGGUGAAAGGCCAAUCAAACUGGGAAAUAGCUGGUUCUCCGCGAAAGAUAUUUAGGUAUCGCCUCGGACGAAUACCUCAGGGGGUAGAGCACUGGAUGGGCUAGGGGGACUUACCGUCUUACCAAACCCAACCAAACUCCGAAUACCUGAGAGUACUAUCCGGGAGUCACACGGCGGGUGCUAACGUCCGUCGUGGAGAGGGAAACAACCCUGACCUACAGCUAAGGCCCCCAAUUCGUGGCUAAGUGGGAAAGGAUGUGGAAAUCCCAAAACAACCAGGAGGUUGGCUUAGAAGCAGCCAUCCUUUAAAGAAAGCGUAACAGCUCACUGGUCUAAAUAAGGGUUUCUGCGCCGAAGAUGUAACGGGGCUCAAGCCACGAGCCGAAGCUUAGGGUGCAUCGCAAGAUGCGCGGUAGCGGAGCGUUCUGUAAGCCUGCGAAGGGCGACCCGUGAGGGCGCCUGGAGGUAUCAGAAGUGCGAAUGCUGGCAUGAGUAACGACAAACACUGUGAAAGACAGUGUCGCCGAAAGUCCAAGGGUUCCUGCGUAAAGUUAAUCUUCGCAGGGUUAGCCGGUCCCUAAGGCGAGGCCGACAGGCGUAGUCGAUGGGAAUGCAGUGAAUAUUCUGCAGCCAGUGGAUGGUGACGAAUUGCGUAUGUUGUCUGACCUUACUGGAUUGGUCGGGCCUCGAAGCAGUUCCAGGAAAUAGCCUCCACAUUAGACCGUACCCGAAACCGACACAGGUGGACUGGUAGAGUAUACCAAGGCGCUUGAGAGAACUAUGUUGAAGGAACUCGGCAAUUUACCUCCGUAACUUCGGGAUAAGGAGGCCCAUUGCUCGCGCAAGCGGGCAGUGGGGGCACAGACCAGGGGGUGGCAACUGUUUAACAAAAACACAGGGCUCUGCGAAAUCGUAAGAUGACGUAUAGGGUCUGACGCCUGCCCGGUGCCGGAAGGUUAAGAGGAGAGGUGCAAGCCUUGAAUCGAAGCCCCGGUAAACGGCGGCCGUAACUAUAACGGUCCUAAGGUAGCGAAAUUCCUUGUCGGGUAAGUUCCGACCUGCACGAAUGGCGUAACGACUUCCCUGCUGUCUCAACCACAGGCCCGGUGAAAUUGCACUACGAGUAAAGAUGCUCGUUACGCGCGGCAGGACGAAAAGACCCCGGGACCUUCACUAUAGCUUGGUAUUGGUGUUUGGUUCGGUUUGUGUAGGAUAG